Molecule: transfer RNA, 72 nt
Filed under: Camelus bactrianus (Bactrian camel)
Lineage: Eukaryota; Metazoa; Chordata; Mammalia; Artiodactyla; Camelidae
Also listed under: 2 other names
Rfam family: tRNA
About the family: Transfer RNA (tRNA) molecules are approximately 80 nucleotides in length. Their secondary structure includes four short double-helical elements and three loops (D, anti-codon, and T loops).
Source: Rfam by way of RNAcentral
GAGGGUAUAGCUCAGUGGUGGAGCAUAUGCUUGGCAUGCAUGAGGUCCUGGGUUCAAUCUCCAGUACUUCCA